This 651-nucleotide ribosomal RNA is filed under the name Triticum aestivum (bread wheat). Its description in RNAcentral is "partial small subunit ribosomal RNA". Lineage: Eukaryota; Viridiplantae; Streptophyta; Magnoliopsida; Poales; Poaceae. The record is from RNAcentral.
AUGGAGGACGUGAUCUUCGAGGGUGGGCAUGGCCGUGCCUACGACCCCGAGGAGACCCAAAGUCAGGAUGGCCGCGCCCAGUACGUGCCCGAUGAAGAGGCCGACAACCGUGCUGACUACGACCAUGGUGACUCGUGGCAUGAAGAUAAUGACAUCUAUGUCGAAGGUGAUGGUGAUGAAGAAGAAGGCAAUGACGUUGAUAUUAGUGGCGAGCCAUUGUUCAUCGACGAGCUCACCCAAAGAGCGAAAGCACAAAAGAAGAGGAAGAGCAUUCGCACGGGUUCAUAUACACAAGAUGAGGACAAGUUGAUUUGCCAAGCUUGGAUGGAGAUUAGCCAAGAUCCGAGGACCGGCGCGCAACAAAAGGGCAUUGUUUUUUGGACGAGAGUCCACAAAACAUUUCAUGAAAGGAAGAUGUUUGAGCCCUACCAAUUUACAAGCAACCGUGGCAUCAGCUCGAUUCAAAAGAGAUGGUUGUUCAUCCAACAAGAGUGCAACAAGUAUUGCGCCGCAUUUGAGAGCGUUGAAGCACGACCCGUGAGUGGUCUCGGCGUUGGGGACAUGGUAUGCUCUCCUCUUCCUAGCCCUUUCCUUGCUACGGCCAUGAGACUUCGGCCGUGUAUAUAUGUUUGCAUGUUCACUUGUUGUUGA